RNAcentral lists this ribosomal RNA (1046 nucleotides) under Acinetobacter sp. 510B2_12EESBL. Its description in RNAcentral is "bacterial SSU rRNA". It matches the Rfam family "Bacterial small subunit ribosomal RNA", at positions 56 to 1096 of the family's 1533-position model. The record is from RNAcentral. Lineage: Bacteria; Pseudomonadati; Pseudomonadota; Gammaproteobacteria; Moraxellales; Moraxellaceae.
UGCAAGUCGAGCGGGGGAAGGUAGCUUGCUACUGGACCUAGCGGCGGACGGGUGAGUAAUACUUAGGAAUCUGCCUAUUAGUGGGGGACAACGUUUCGAAAGGGACGCUAAUACCGCAUACGCCCUACGGGGGAAAGCAGGGGAUCAUUUGACCUUGCGCUAAUAGAUGAGCCUAAGUCGGAUUAGCUAGUUGGUGGGGUAAAGGCCUACCAAGGCGACGAUCUGUAGCGGGUCUGAGAGGAUGAUCCGCCACACUGGGACUGAGACACGGCCCAGACUCCUACGGGAGGCAGCAGUGGGGAAUAUUGGACAAUGGGGGGAACCCUGAUCCAGCCAUGCCGCGUGUGUGAAGAAGGCCUUAUGGUUGUAAAGCACUUUAAGCGAGGAGGAGGCUACUUUGGUUAAUACCUAAAGAUAGUGGACGUUACUCGCAGAAUAAGCACCGGCUAACUCUGUGCCAGCAGCCGCGGUAAUACAGAGGGUGCGAGCGUUAAUCGGAUUUACUGGGCGUAAAGCGUACGUAGGCGGCUUUUUAAGUCGGAUGUGAAAUCCCUGAGCUUAACUUAGGAAUUGCAUUCGAUACUGGGAAGCUAGAGUAUGGGAGAGGAUGGUAGAAUUCCAGGUGUAGCGGUGAAAUGCGUAGAGAUCUGGAGGAAUACCGAUGGCGAAGGCAGCCAUCUGGCCUAAUACUGACGCUGAGGUACGAAAGCAUGGGGAGCAAACAGGAUUAGAUACCCUGGUAGUCCAUGCCGUAAACGAUGUCUACUAGCCGUUGGGGCCUUUGAGGCUUUAGUGGCGCAGCUAACGCGAUAAGUAGACCGCCUGGGGAGUACGGUCGCAAGACUAAAACUCAAAUGAAUUGACGGGGGCCCGCACAAGCGGUGGAGCAUGUGGUUUAAUUCGAUGCAACGCGAAGAACCUUACCUGGUCUUGACAUAGUAAGAACUUUCCAGAGAUGGAUUGGUGCCUUCGGGAACUUACAUACAGGUGCUGCAUGGCUGUCGUCAGCUCGUGUCGUGAGAUGUUGGGUUAAGUCCCGCAACGAG